Molecule: ribosomal RNA, 76 nt
Filed under: Acetomicrobium thermoterrenum DSM 13490
Lineage: Bacteria; Thermotogati; Synergistota; Synergistia; Synergistales; Acetomicrobiaceae
Description: 23S rRNA. Bacterial LSU
Source: RNAcentral
GGGUAGAUAGGCCGGAGGUGGAAGCCCCGAGAGGGGUGCAGCUGACCGGUACUAAUACACCGAGGCCUUGUCCUUA